This 441-nucleotide long non-coding RNA is filed under the name Nicotiana benthamiana. Its description in RNAcentral is "long non-coding RNA (NBEN_LNC011524)". The record is from RNAcentral. Lineage: Eukaryota; Viridiplantae; Streptophyta; Magnoliopsida; Solanales; Solanaceae.
AGAAGCAGCUCUAGCAGGUGAAAAGUUGGGAUUAUACAAACCUGACAUAGCUUUUUUUUCAGGUGAAUAAGCUUUUAGACUGAAAUGGCUCCCUCUGCUGGGUUAUAGUGUAGCGGCAGAAGAUAGGAAAAGAAAAGAAAAGAAAAGAAAAGAAACAGAAACAGAAACAGAGAGAGAGAGAGAGAGACAAGCUUUUAGUCUGAAAUGGCUCCCCCUGCUGGGUUAUAGUAUAGCGGCAGAAGAUGGGAAAAGAAAAGAAAAGAAACAAAACAGAAACAGAAAGAGAGAGAAAAAGAGAGAGAGAACCCUUGAAAAGGGUUUUGUGUAAAUAAAGGGUGAAAAGUCUAAAAGCCUGUGAAAUUGGCAGAAAGAAAGCCAAAACCAUUUUUUAUUUUUUAUUUUUUAUUUUUGUUGUAUGAAGAAGUUACUAUAGUAGUAGGA